ACUUAUAUAGCUUAUAAUAAAGAGCAUUGCAUUGAAGCUGCUAAGGAAACAGUUAUGUUUAUAAGUA
RNAcentral lists this transfer RNA (67 nucleotides) under Mierspenaeopsis hardwickii. RNAcentral's name for it is "tRNA-Phe". It matches the Rfam family "tRNA". Rfam says of the family: Transfer RNA (tRNA) molecules are approximately 80 nucleotides in length. Their secondary structure includes four short double-helical elements and three loops (D, anti-codon, and T loops). The record is from RNAcentral. Lineage: Eukaryota; Metazoa; Arthropoda; Malacostraca; Decapoda; Penaeidae.